GACGAACGCUGGCGGCGUGCCUAAUACAUGCAAGUUGAGCGCUGAAGGUUGGUACUUGUACCAACUGGAUGAGCAGCGAACGGGUGAGUAACGCGUGGGGAAUCUGCCUUUGAGCGGGGGACAACAUUUGGAAACGAAUGCUAAUACCGCAUAAAAACUUUAAACACAAGUUUUAAGUUUGAAAGAUGCAAUUGCAUCACUCAAAGAUGAUCCCGCGUUGUAUUAGCUAGUUGGUGAGGUAAAGGCUCACCAAGGCGAUGAUACAUAGCCGACCUGAGAGGGUGAUCGGCCACAGUGGGACUGAGACACGGCCCAAACUCCUACGGGAGGCAGCAGUAGGGAAUCUUCGGCAAUGGACGAAAGUCUGACCGAGCAACGCCGCGCGAGUGAAGAAGGUUUUCGGAUCGUAAAACUCUGUUGGUAGAGAAGAACGUUGGUGAGAGUGGAAAGCUCAUCAAGUGACGGUAACUACCCAGAAAGGGACGGCUAACUACGUG
RNAcentral lists this ribosomal RNA (497 nucleotides) under uncultured bacterium. Its description in RNAcentral is "partial 16S ribosomal RNA". It matches the Rfam family "Bacterial small subunit ribosomal RNA", at positions 28 to 507 of the family's 1533-position model. The record is from RNAcentral.